This 251-nucleotide ribosomal RNA is filed under the name uncultured prokaryote. RNAcentral's name for it is "partial 16S rRNA". It matches the Rfam family "Bacterial small subunit ribosomal RNA", at positions 525 to 775 of the family's 1533-position model. The record is from RNAcentral.
ACGGAGGGUGCGAGCGUUAUUCGGAAUUACUGGGCGUAAAGCGCGUGCAGGCGGGGCGGCAAGUCUGAUGUGAAAUCCCUCGGCUUAACACGGGGAGUGCAGUUGAAACUGUCUUUCUUGAGUACUGGUGCGGAAGGGGGAAUUCCCGGUGUAGAGGUGAAAUUCGUAGAGAUCAGUAGGAAUACCGUUGGCGAAGGCAGCCUACGGAUCGGUUACUGACGCUGAUGCACGAAAGUGUGGAGAGCAAACAG